GAUGAACGCUGGCGGCGUGCCUAAUACAUGCAAGUCGAGCGAACAGACGAGGAGCUUGCUCCUCUGACGUUAGCGGCGGACGGGUGAGUAACACGUGGAUAACCUACCUAUAAGACUGGGAUAACUUCGGGAAACCGGAGCUAAUACCGGAUAAUAUAUUGAACCGCAUGGUUCAAUAGUGAAAGACGGUUUUGCUGUCACUUAUAGAUGGAUCCGCGCCGCAUUAGCUAGUUGGUAAGGUAACGGCUUACCAAGGCAACGAUGCGUAGCCGACCUGAGAGGGUGAUCGGCCACACUGGAACUGAGACACGGUCCAGACUCCUACGGGAGGCAGCAGUAGGGAAUCUUCCGCAAUGGGCGAAAGCCUGACGGAGCAACACCGCGUGAGUGAUGAAGGUCUUCGGAUCGUAAAACUCUGUUAUUAGGGAAGAUCAAAUGUGUAAGUAACUAUGCACGUCUUGACGGUACCUAAUCAGAAAGCCACGGCUAACUACGUG
RNAcentral lists this ribosomal RNA (497 nucleotides) under uncultured bacterium. RNAcentral's name for it is "partial 16S ribosomal RNA". It matches the Rfam family "Bacterial small subunit ribosomal RNA", at positions 28 to 507 of the family's 1533-position model. The record is from RNAcentral.